Molecule: non-coding RNA, 267 nt
Organism: Calypte anna (Anna's hummingbird)
Lineage: Eukaryota; Metazoa; Chordata; Aves; Apodiformes; Trochilidae
Source: Rfam
AUGCAUGCUGGGCAAUAAUUUAUGAAACGGAGCUCAGGAAACAACCAAUCAUUUAGUUCCUCCUAACAAGUCCAACUGGCUGUGAAAGCUGGAAGUGCUGCACGGAGCAAUGAAGAGGAGCUAUCCCACAUAUUAAUCUGCUUAUCUAGGGUUGCUUUCUGUAUGCAGAGGGGGGAAAACAAGAGAAAAAGGAAAGAAGAAUCACAGUUUCACUGUUGAAACAAUGUAAUAAAUUUUAACAAACAGGCAAAUCUUCCAUUGGAGUGA